RNAcentral lists this non-coding RNA (73 nucleotides) under Maritimibacter sp. HL-12. RNAcentral's name for it is "Singlet oxygen resistance RNA X". It matches the Rfam family "Singlet oxygen resistance RNA X". Rfam says of the family: SorX (RSs2461)like SorY is a singlet oxygen induced sRNA that counteracts oxidative stress by targeting mRNA for a transporter in Rhodobacter. It also has an impact on resistance against organic hydroperoxides. Lineage: Bacteria; Pseudomonadati; Pseudomonadota; Alphaproteobacteria; Rhodobacterales; Roseobacteraceae. The record is from Rfam by way of RNAcentral.
CCCCUGUUCGCGUCGGGGUCAUGACGCGGAAUCCUCCCUGUUGGACUGGCCCGGGCAUCGCCCGGGUCUUUUU